GAGAGCGAUGCUGGGCUGACCCGAGUUAAAAGAGAUCCAGUGCAAAGCGGUGGCAAGAGGGCAGGCAGGUGCCAUACUGAAAUCCUUCCCAGGAGUCAGAGCGUGAAACAGGUGCUGUGACCAGAGAGCUGUAGCACAAGAGAAACAAGUGAGUUCUGCAGCUGAAUGACAGCAUGGCAGCAGCACCUGGACCACAAGACACUUUUCCCAGACGUCGCAGGAAGAGCUUUGGAUUUG
Non-coding RNA from Maylandia zebra (zebra mbuna), 237 nucleotides. Lineage: Eukaryota; Metazoa; Chordata; Actinopteri; Cichliformes; Cichlidae. The record is from RefSeq and is a predicted model, not a curated record.